CCUACGGGUGGCAGCAGUGAGGAAUAUUGGUCAAUGGGCGGAAGCCUGAACCAGCCAAGCAGCGUGCAGGAUGACGGCCCUAUGGGUUGUAAACCUCUUUUAUCCGAGAACAACGCGCCUGACGUGUACCGCUCUGCAUGUAUCCGAAGAAUAAGCAUCGGCUAACUCCGUGCCAGCAGCCGCGGUAAUACGGAAGGUACGCGCGUUAUCCGGAUUUAUUGGGUUUAAAGGGUGCGUAGGCCGGCUGUUAAGUUUGCGGUGAAAUUUCCGGGCUCAACCCGGGCCGAGCAGCGCAAACUGGCAUACUUGAGUCGGCGGGAAGCACGCGGAAUGCGUGGUGUAGCGGUGAAAUGCUUAGAUAUCGCGCAGAACUCCGAUUGCGAAGGCAGCGUACCGGCGCCAGACUGACGCUGAGGCACGAAAGCGUGGGGAUCGAACAGGAUUAGAUACCCCAGUAGUC
Molecule: ribosomal RNA, 460 nt
Filed under: uncultured bacterium
Lineage: Bacteria
Description: partial 16S ribosomal RNA
Rfam family: Bacterial small subunit ribosomal RNA
Source: RNAcentral